UCUCCUGGGAAGUGCAUGUCUGAGCAGCAAGAUAGUUGCUUUAGGGUCAGGUGCUCUUAACAUCCCUCUCCUGAGGGUCAUGUGGCAGAAUGGACUCUUUAGUGGAAACUUGAUGAGUGACAGCACAGCUGAGGCAAGAAUCACUCUCAGACCGUUUAAGUAGUAUAUUGUCAACAAAUCAGACCCCGUUGGCCUGUGUCAUGUGACUAUUGAGAUAAUAUGAAGACCCAAACUUAUGAGUGAGGGACCUGCUCAGAAUCUGGAGCUAGCAGACAAUCCAAACCAACCUUGUCUCUGCCAAAGUCCUGGGUGUUCUACUUGCAAAAUGUCACAGAGGCUGACAGAGUUGGACACUGAAGCCGGUGCCAAGCAGCGCAAUGAUAAGAAAAAGGGGCUGAAGGUACAGUUCAGAAAGGCCCAGGACAAUAACCAGAAUUCUGAGGCCAACAGAUUCAGCUGCCCUUCUUGAAAAGCUGUAUUUGAGCCUCAUGGACAGGCCAUCCAGCAAGUUUGCCAUGCGUGUGGCAGCUAGCCAAGAGCUCAGCUAGGACAUACAUGGAAAGGGCCCUAAGGACCAGGAGACGACUUAACUGAAGUCCAAGGAUUGGAUGACAGAAGAGAUAAGGAGCCAUUGUUGCAAGGGAUGUUGUGAAGUCAGCUGCUACUGCUUCAGAAAGAGACCACAGCGUCUGAGACAGAAGACUAGAACAUGGAAGUGGCAUGUAACAUUUACAACCUGUUCUGUCAGUAAAGAAUCCCUCCUAGUUAUACUGGUAUGCCAGCCACUGAUAGAAAAGCCCCAGGGAGUGCUAUUCACAAAGUGGGGGUGGGGGUGGUAAAGUAACAGUGUGGGAUCAUGGAGAAGGCAGCCCAAAAAUGAGCUCAACAACCUUGCUUAAAAAACUAAGCUGACCUUGAGUCAGUGUUUCAUCAAAGUAUGAAACUGAACCCUUGUCAUACAUUUUGUUGUGUCAGAAAGUGAGUGACCAAGAGCCCUCACAGAGGGAUUCAUUAGAUUAAGCACUGUAAAAAGAAAUCUGCUCUAAUUCUAGUCUUGUGGUACUGGUGUCUCAUUUUUGAAGAUUCCUACCACUGCCACCAUCUUCUAACCUAAUGAAUGUUAUGUGGGGAUGGCUAUGUUCACAGAAGCCCAAGACAAACCAAACCCUGUCAAACUUAAAAUAAUGAUAUGUCAAACAUCACUCCACUUGACUCAGCAGUGUGUGCCAGGCACAGAAAGUUUCAAAAGGAGUACAAGAAAUAUUUGGGGACUGCUUGUUUUUAAUGGUACAGUUGAAAUUGAAUUACAAAAUUGUAUAAAUGAAGUUUUAUGGCUAUUUUGAUUCUUAGGGUAGCUUAAUCCAUGACUCAUCAAAUACCCCUGUGUGUGCAUGUGCCCAAAUUUUAAAUUCUAAAUCUCCUGGCAGGACUAAUAGCUUGGUUAUAGCAUAGUUUCUCACAUAGUGAUGAUUAUGGCUCCCUCCUCCCCAGAAACCAAAUAUAUGACAGGCUGAGACGCUCAGCUGGCCCUCUAAAUUCCUUCCACCUAGAUUAGCUGGGAAGACUUCCCCACCCCCUAUAGCCUUAAAGGGCCAGUAUACCUGUUUACACCAUGCAUUGCUUGUCCAGUGAGCAUGAUAUCCACUAGACAAAGGCAUCAGGAUUCCCAGUCUCAUUU
This is a long non-coding RNA of Mauremys reevesii (Reeves's turtle), 1678 nucleotides long. RefSeq lists it as uncharacterized. NCBI's taxonomy places the organism in Eukaryota, Metazoa, Chordata, Testudines, Geoemydidae. The record is from RefSeq and is a predicted model, not a curated record. The transcript has 3 exons.